RNAcentral lists this ribosomal RNA (505 nucleotides) under uncultured bacterium. RNAcentral's name for it is "partial 16S ribosomal RNA". It matches the Rfam family "Bacterial small subunit ribosomal RNA", at positions 28 to 507 of the family's 1533-position model. The record is from RNAcentral.
GACGAACGCUGGCGGCGUGCCUAAUACAUGCAAGUAGAACGCACAGUUUAUACCGUAGCUUGCUACACCAUAGACUGUGAGUUGCGAACGGGUGAGUAACGCGUAGGUAACCUGCCUGGUAGCGGGGGAUAACUAUUGGAAACGAUAGCUAAUACCGCAUAAUAUUAAUUAAUGCAUGAUAAUUAAUUGAAAGGUGCAAUUGCACCACUACCAGAUGGACCUGCGUUGUAUUAGCUAGUAGGUGAGGUAACGGCUCACCUAGGCGACGAUACAUAGCCGACCUGAGAGGGUGAUCGGCCACACUGGGACUGAGACACGGCCCAGACUCCUACGGGAGGCAGCAGUAGGGAAUCUUCGGCAAUGGACGAAAGUCUGACCGAGCAACGCCGCGUGAGUGAAGAAGGUUUUCGGAUCGUAAAGCUCUGUUGUAAGAGAAGAACGGGUGUGAGAGUGGAAAGUUCACACUGUGACGGUAUCUUACCAGAAAGGGACGGCUAACUACGUG